This 918-nucleotide ribosomal RNA is filed under the name uncultured archaeon. RNAcentral describes it as "bacterial SSU rRNA". It matches the Rfam family "Archaeal small subunit ribosomal RNA", at positions 1 to 922 of the family's 1478-position model. The record is from RNAcentral.
UUCCGGUUGAUCCUGCCGGAGCAUUGCUAUCGGAGUCCGAUUUAGCCAUGCUAGUUGCACGAGUUUAGACUCGUAGCAUAUAGCUCAGUAACACGUGGCCAAACUACCCUACAGACCGUCAUAACCUCGGGAAACUGAGGCCAAUAGCGGAUACAACUCUUAUGCUGGAGUGCCGAGAGUUGGAAACGUUCCGGCGCUGUAGGAUGUGGCUGCGGCCGAUUAGGUAGAUGGUGGGGUAACGGCCCACCAUGCCGAUAAUCGGUACAGGUUGUGAGAGCAAGAGCCUGGAGACGGUAUCUGAGACAAGAUACCGGGCCCUACGGGGCGCAGAGGGCGCGAAACCUUUACACUGCACGACAGUCGAAUAGGGGGGACUCCGAGUGCGAGGGCAUAUAGCCCUCGCUUUUUCUGAACCGUAAGUGGGUUCAGGAACAAGGACUGGGCAAGACCGGUGCCAGCCGCCGCGGUAAUACCGGCAGUCCAAGUGAUGGCCGAUAUUAUUGGGCCUAAAGCGUCCGUAGCUUGCUGUGUAAGUCCAUUGGGAAAUCGACCAGCUCAACUGGUCGGCGUCCGGUGGAAACUACACAGCUUGGGGCCGAGAGACUCAACGGGUACGUCCGGGGUAGGAGUGAAAUCCUGUAAUCCUGAACGGACCACCAAUGGGGAAACCACGUUGAGAGACCGGACCCGACUGUGAGGGACGAAAGCCAGGGUCUCGAACCGGAUUAGAUACCCGGGUAGUCCUGGCUGUAAACAAUGCUCGCUAGGUAUGUCACGCGCCAUGAGCACGUGAUGUGCCGUAGUGAAGACGAUAAGCGAGCCGCCUGGGAAGUACGUCCGCAAGGAUGAAACUUAAAGGAAUUGGCGGGGGAGCACCACAACCGGAGGAGCUGCGGUUUAAUUGGAGUCAACGCCGGA